GAAAGAGAUUUUUUUUUGGAAAAAUUGAAUCUCUUCAUGAAUAUAAUCUCACCAAUAAUCAAAUACAUAAUCAUAUAUAGUUGCACAAUACAACCCAUAUCAAUCCUUAAUUUAUUCCACUUUGUAACUAAACCAAUGAAUCAAAUAACAGUAACCCUCAUCCCUCCAUCCAUCAAAAAAUCUCUUUCCACAAAGCACAUAUGUAGUAAUGAUACAAUAAAUUAGAAAAAC
RNAcentral lists this unclassified non-coding RNA (231 nucleotides) under Hevea brasiliensis (rubber tree). Lineage: Eukaryota; Viridiplantae; Streptophyta; Magnoliopsida; Malpighiales; Euphorbiaceae. The record is from RNAcentral.